UACGAAGGGGACUAGCGUUGUUCGGAAUCACUGGGCGUAAAGCGCACGUAGGCGGAUUGUUAAGUCAGGGGUGAAAUCCCGGGGCUCAACCUCGGAACUGCCUUUGAUACUGGCGAUCUCGAGUCCGGAAGAGGUGGGUGGAAUUCCUAGUGUAGAGGUGAAAUUCGUAGAUAUUAGGAAGAACACCAGUGGCGAAGGCGGCCCACUGGUCCGGUACUGACGCUGAGGUGCGAAAGCGUGGGGAGCAAAC
RNAcentral lists this ribosomal RNA (250 nucleotides) under uncultured bacterium. Its description in RNAcentral is "partial 16S ribosomal RNA". It matches the Rfam family "Bacterial small subunit ribosomal RNA", at positions 524 to 773 of the family's 1533-position model. The record is from RNAcentral.